RNAcentral lists this ribosomal RNA (1541 nucleotides) under Escherichia coli. RNAcentral describes it as "bacterial SSU rRNA". It matches the Rfam family "Bacterial small subunit ribosomal RNA". Lineage: Bacteria; Pseudomonadati; Pseudomonadota; Gammaproteobacteria; Enterobacterales; Enterobacteriaceae. The record is from RNAcentral.
AAAUUGAAGAGUUUGAUCAUGGCUCAGAUUGAACGCUGGCGGCAGGCCUAACACAUGCAAGUCGAACGGUAACAGGAAGAAGCUUGCUUCUUUGCUGACGAGUGGCGGACGGGUGAGUAAUGUCUGGGAAACUGCCUGAUGGAGGGGGAUAACUACUGGAAACGGUAGCUAAUACCGCAUAACGUCGCAAGACCAAAGAGGGGGACCUUCGGGUCUCUUGCCAUCGGAUGUGCCCAGAUGGGAUUAGCUAGUAGGUGGGGUAACGGCUCACCUAGGCGACGAUCCCUAGCUGGUCUGAGAGGAUGACCAGCCACACUGGAACUGAGACACGGUCCAGACUCCUACGGGAGGCAGCAGUGGGGAAUAUUGCACAAUGGGCGCAAGCCUGAUGCAGCCAUGCCGCGUGUAUGAAGAAGGCCUUCGGGUUGUAAAGUACUUUCAGCGGGGAGGAAGGGAGUAAAGUUAAUACCUUUGCUCAUUGACGUUACCCGCAGAAGAAGCACCGGCUAACUCCGUGCCAGCAGCCGCGGUAAUACGGAGGGUGCAAGCGUUAAUCGGAAUUACUGGGCGUAAAGCGCACGCAGGCGGUUUGUUAAGUCAGAUGUGAAAUCCCCGGGCUCAACCUGGGAACUGCAUCUGAUACUGGCAAGCUUGAGUCUCGUAGAGGGGGGUAGAAUUCCAGGUGUAGCGGUGAAAUGCGUAGAGAUCUGGAGGAAUACCGGUGGCGAAGGCGGCCCCCUGGACGAAGACUGACGCUCAGGUGCGAAAGCGUGGGGAGCAAACAGGAUUAGAUAUCCUGGUAGUCCACGCCGUAAACGAUGUCGACUUGGAGGUUGUGCCCUUGAGGCGUGGCUUCCGGAGCUAACGCGUUAAGUCGACCGCCUGGGGAGUACGGCCGCAAGGUUAAAACUCAAAUGAAUUGACGGGGCCCGCACAAGCGGUGGAGCAUGUGGUUUAAUUCGAUGCAACGCGAAGAACCUUACCUGGUCUUGACAUCCACGGAAGUUUUCAGAGAUGAGAAUGUGCCUUCGGGAACCGUGAGACAGGUGCUGCAUGGCUGUCGUCAGCUCGUGUUGUGAAAUGUUGGGUUAAGUCCCGCAACGAGCGCAACCCUUAUCCUUUGUUGCCAGCGGUCCGGCCGGGAACUCAAAGGAGACUGCCAGUGAUAAACUGGAGGAAGGUGGGGAUGACGUCAAGUCAUCAUGGCCCUUACGACCAGGGCUACACACGUGCUACAAUGGCGCAUACAAAGAGAAGCGACCUCGCGAGAGCAAGCGGACCUCAUAAAGUGCGUCGUAGUCCGGAUUGGAGUCUGCAACUCGACUCCAUGAAGUCGGAAUCGCUAGUAAUCGUGGAUCAGAAUGCCACGGUGAAUACGUUCCCGGGCCUUGUACACACCGCCCGUCACACCAUGGGAGUGGGUUGCAAAAGAAGUAGGUAGCUUAACCUUCGGGAGGGCGCUUACCACUUUGUGAUUCAUGACUGGGGUGAAGUCGUAACAAGGUAACCGUAGGGGAACCUGCGGUUGGAUCACCUCCUUA